CCGUUGUCUGAGAACCUGCUGGCCCUUGUACCACUCAUUUAAAUUCAUACUCAACUAGGAUUCUCCAGCGCUUUACAUGUCUCCUGGAGAAUGCAUAGAAAGUAAGUGCUCUCUGGAAGCCUGUAACAGUCCUCAUCAAAGGCUGAUUCCCUCUGUCCAAGGAAAAGGAAGGGAAAGCCAUGUCGAUUGGAAAUGUGAUAUUAUUCAGCCUGCUUUCAUGACCUCAGGAACUGCAGCAAGCUCGUUUCAGGAUCCUGCUGUCCCCAGCUGGUGUUUGCUCAGUGGCGUCUACUCUCCCACGAAUCUCCUUUCCAACUUCAGGCUUUAUGGCUCAGCUAAAGAAAAAUGUCACCACUCUGGGAAAACAGCAGGAUGACUGAUAUUUCUGGAGUGAGCAAGACACUGGAGCAUGACAGGGACAGUGUUUGGUGCAUCGGAAGACUCGCUUGAAGGGAUUUUUUUUUUUUCUGUGACUCUUUCUUGUCUCCCAAAUGUGCUGUGUCUAAAUUUCAUAUUUAACUCUCCGGGCGAGACAGAGAAACCUUCAAGACGCUCAUGCAUCCCUCCCACUGAGGGAAAGACAAUUCUUGGCAGCUCUUACAAAAAAAGGAGAUCAAGAGUCACUAAUGGGAAAAAAAAACAUGUGGAAAAAUCCUGAAAUGAAGGAUUGAUGAUGAGGCCUCACAGGCAACUCCCCUUAAAAGAGAAUUUUUAAGUCUCCAAACAAAUGAUAAUAUGACAACACAGACUAAUUGCUGCUUUCUUUUUAAAAAUUACAAAACUAUCCUAUACUUAUGGGAGAUAUUUUGUAAGAUUUGAAACUGCUGUAGCUGGGCAUUGUGGCACAUGCCUGUAGUCCCAGCUACUCGGGAGGUUGAGGCAGGAGAAUCAUUUGAACCCAGGAGGCAGAGGUUGUAGUGAGCUGAGAUUGCGUCACUGUACUCCAGCCUGAAUGACAG
Molecule: long non-coding RNA, 959 nt
Filed under: Homo sapiens (human)
Lineage: Eukaryota; Metazoa; Chordata; Mammalia; Primates; Hominidae
Description: HSALNT0307245
Source: RNAcentral